AUUGAACGCUGGCGGCAGGCCUAACACAUGCAAGUCGAACGAGUGGCGGACGGGUGAGUAAUGUCUGGGAAACUGCCUGAUGGAGGGGGAUAACUACUGGAAACGGUAGCUAAUACCGCAUACCAUCAGAUGUGCCCAGAUGGGAUUAGCUAGUUGGUGGGGUAACGGCUCACCAAGGCGACGAUCCCUAGCUGGUCUGAGAGGAUGACCAGACACACUGGAACUGAGACACGGUCCAGACUCCUACGGGAGGCAGCAGUGGGGAAUAUUGCACAAGGGGCGAAAGCCUGAUGAAGCCAUGCCGCGGGUGUGAAGAAGGCAUUCGGGUUGUAAAGCACUUUCAGCGAGGAGGCGUUACUCGCAGAAGAAGCACCGGCUAACUCCGUGCCAGCAGCCGCGGUAAUAC
RNAcentral lists this ribosomal RNA (406 nucleotides) under uncultured bacterium. RNAcentral describes it as "partial 16S ribosomal RNA". It matches the Rfam family "Bacterial small subunit ribosomal RNA", at positions 30 to 526 of the family's 1533-position model. The record is from RNAcentral.